RNAcentral lists this long non-coding RNA (207 nucleotides) under Elaeis guineensis (African oil palm). Its description in RNAcentral is "long non-coding RNA (EGUI_LNC041958)". The record is from RNAcentral. Lineage: Eukaryota; Viridiplantae; Streptophyta; Magnoliopsida; Arecales; Arecaceae.
CGGAACCGUCCCUUCGAAUCCUGCGCACUGCCGCCUCCAGAUAUUUUGGCAUUAAAUGAGCGCGUGCCGGAGUCUUUUCGAAUUGGAGCGGUACGAGGGGACGCUUCGAAAAUUCCGUAGGUACACUGGCCUAGGUACGGCGCAAUUAUGAUCCUGCCAACCGUCAGCCGCUUUUAGCCGUCUGCCAGGGGGAGUGGGACACGUGUU